CCGGCGAGUUACGAUUUGAUGCAAGGUUAAGCAGUAAAUGUGGAGCCGUAGCGAAAGCGAGUCUGAAUAGGGCGUUUAGUAUUUGGUCGUAGACCCGAAACCAGGUGAUCUACCCUUGGUCAGGUUGAAGUUCAGGUAACACUGAAUGGAGGACCGAACCGACUUACGUUGAAAAGUGAGCGGAUGAACUGAGGGUAGCGGAGAAAUUCCAAUCGAACCUGGAGAUAGCUGGUUCUCUCCGAAAUAGCUUUAGGGCUAGCCUCAAGUGAUGAUUAUUGGAGGUAGAGCACUGUUUGGACGAGGGGCCCCUCUCGGGUUACCGAAUUCAGACAAACUCCGAAUGCCAAUUAAUUUAACUUGGGAGUCAGAACAUGGGUGAUAAGGUCCGUGUUCGAAAGGGAAACAGCCCAGACCACCAGCUAAGGUCCCAAAAUAUAUGUUAAGUGGAAAAGGAUGUGGCGUUGCCCAGACAACUAGGAUGUUGGCUUAGAAGCAGCCAUCAUUUAAAGAGUGCGUAAUAGCUCACUAGUCGAGUGACACUGCGCCGAAAAUGUACCGGGGCUAAACAUAUUACCGAAGCUGUGGAUUGUCCUUUGGACAAUGGUAGGAGAGCGUUCUAAGGGCGUUGAAGCAUGAUCGUAAGGACAUGUGGAGCGCUUAGAAGUGAGAAUGCCGGUGUGAGUAGCGAAAGACGGGUGAGAAUCCCGUCCACCGAUUGACUAAGGUUUCCAGAGGAAGGCUCGUCCGCUCUGGGUUAGUCGGGUCCUAAGCUGAGGCCGACAGGCGUAGGCGAUGGAUAACAGGUUGAUAUUCCUGUACCACCUAUAAUCGUUUUAAUCGAUGGGGGGACGCAGUAGGAUAGGCGAAGCGUGCGAUUGGAUUGCACGUCUAAGCAGUAAGGCUGAGUAUUAGGCAAAUCCGGUACUCAUUAAGGCUGAGCUGUGAUGGGGAGAAGACAUUGUGUCUUCGAGUCGUUGAUUUCACACUGCCGAGAAAAGCCUCUAGAUAGAAAAUAGGUGCCCGUACCGCAAACCGACACAGGUAGUCAAGAUGAGAAUUCUAAGGUGAGCGAGCGAACUCUCGUUAAGGAACUCGGCAAAAUGACCCCGUAACUUCGGGAGAAGGGGUGCUCUUUAGGGUUAACGCCCAGAAGAGCCGCAGUGAAUAGGCCCAAGCGACUGUUUAUCAAAAACACAGGUCUCUGCUAAACCGUAAGGUGAUGUAUAGGGGCUGACGCCUGCCCGGUGCUGGAAGGUUAAGAGGAGUGGUUAGCUUCUGCGAAGCUACGAAUCGAAGCCCCAGUAAACGGCGGCCGUAACUAUAACGGUCCUAAGGUAGCGAAAUUCCUUGUCGGGUAAGUUCCGACCCGCACGAAAGGCGUAACGAUUUGGGCACUGUCUCAACGAGAGACUCGGUGAAAUCAUAGUACCUGUGAAGAUGCAGGUUACCCGCGACAGGACGGAAAGACCCCGUGGAGCUUUACUGUAGCCUGAUAUUGAAAUUCGGCACAGCUUGUACAGGAUAGGUAGGAGCCUUUGAAACGUGAGCGCUAGCUUACGUGGAGGCGCUGGUGGGAUACUACCCUAGCUGUGUUGGCUUUCUAACCCGCACCACUUAUCGUGGUGGGAGACAGUGUCAGGCGGGCAGUUUGACUGGGGCGGUCGCCUCCUAAAAGGUAACGGAGGCGCUCAAAGGUUCCCUCAGAAUGGUUGGAAAUCAUUCAUAGAGUGUAAAGGCAUAAGGGAGCUUGACUGCGAGACCUACAAGUCGAGCAGGGUCGAAAGACGGACUUAGUGAUCCGGUGGUUCCGCAUGGAAGGGCCAUCGCUCAACGGAUAAAAGCUACCCCGGGGAUAACAGGCUUAUCUCCCCCAAGAGUUCACAUCGACGGGGAGGUUUGGCACCUCGAUGUCGGCUCAUCGCAUCCUGGGGCUGUAGUCGGUCCCAAGGGUUGGGCUGUUCGCCCAUUAAAGCGGUACGCGAGCUGGGUUCAGAACGUCGUGAGACAGUUCGGUCCCUAUCCGUCGUGGGCGUAGGAAAUUUGAGAGGAGCUGUCCUUAGUACGAGAGGACCGGGAUGGACAUACCUCUGGUGUACCAGUUGUCGUGCCAACGGCAUAGCUGGGUAGCUAUGUGUGGACGGGAUAAGUGCUGAAAGCAUCUAAGCAUGAAGCCCCCCUCAAGAUGAGAUUUCCCAACUUCGGUUAUAAGAUCCCUCAAAGAUGAUGAGGUUAAUAGGUUCGAGGUGGAAGCAUGGUGACAUGUGGAGCUGACGAAUACUAAUCGAUCGAAGACUUAAUCAA
Molecule: ribosomal RNA, 2301 nt
Filed under: Staphylococcus aureus
Lineage: Bacteria; Bacillati; Bacillota; Bacilli; Caryophanales; Staphylococcaceae
Description: partial 23S ribosomal RNA
Rfam family: Bacterial large subunit ribosomal RNA
Source: RNAcentral